This 193-nucleotide small nuclear RNA is filed under the name Catagonus wagneri (Chacoan peccary). RNAcentral's name for it is "U2 spliceosomal RNA (ENSCWAG00000000247.1)". It matches the Rfam family "U2 spliceosomal RNA". From Rfam's summary of the family: U2 is a small nuclear RNA (snRNA) component of the spliceosome (involved in pre-mRNA splicing). Lineage: Eukaryota; Metazoa; Chordata; Mammalia; Artiodactyla; Tayassuidae. The record is from Rfam by way of RNAcentral.
AUCCCUUCCCUGUCUAUGAGCUAAAACCAAGCAUAGUAUCUGUCUGACCAAUUAAAGCACCUGAUGUAUUUUUAUCUGUGUCCUGGGCAUGAAGUUAAUGUUUGGAAUUAGGAAAUGGGUUGGGAGCUAACUCCAUCCGCUGCUCCACGCCUCAGCUUGGAAUUGCAUUACUUCCAGGAAUGGUGCAUUCCUU